GACGAACGCUGGCGGCGUGCCUAAUACAUGCCAGUUGAGCGCUGAAGGUUGGUACUUGUACCGACUGGAUGAGCAGCGAACGGGUGAGUAACGCGUGGGGAAUCUGCCUUUGAGCGGGGGACAACAUUUGGAAACGAAUGCUAAUACCGCAUAAAAACUUUAAACACAAGUUUUAAGUUUGAAAGAUGCAAUUGCAUCACUCAAAGAUGAUCCCGCGUUGUAUUAGCUAGUUGGUGAGGUAAAGGCUCACCAAGGCGAUGAUACAUAGCCGACCUGAGAGGGUGAUCGGCCACAUUGGGACUGAGACACGGCCCAAACUCCUACGGGAGGCAGCAGUAGGGAAUCUUCGGCAAUGGACGAAAGUCUGACCGAGCAACGCCGCGUGAGUGAAGAAGGUUUUCGGAUCGUAAAACUCUGUUGGUAGAGAAGAACGUUGGUGAGAGUGGAAAGCUCAUCAAGCGACGGUAACUACCCAGAAAGGGACGGCUAACUACGUG
RNAcentral lists this ribosomal RNA (497 nucleotides) under uncultured bacterium. RNAcentral describes it as "partial 16S ribosomal RNA". It matches the Rfam family "Bacterial small subunit ribosomal RNA", at positions 28 to 507 of the family's 1533-position model. The record is from RNAcentral.